GACGAACGCUGGCGGCGUGCUUAACACAUGCAAGUCGAACGGAAAGGCCCUGCUUUUGUGGGGUGCUCGAGUGGCGAACGGGUGAGUAACACGUGAGUAACCUGCCCUUGACUUUGGGAUAACUUCAGGAAACUGGGGCUAAUACCGGAUAGGAGCUCCUGCUGCAUGGUGGGGGUUGGAAAGUUUCGGCGGUUGGGGAUGGACUCGCGGCUUAUCAGCUUGUUGGUGGGGUAGUGGCUUACCAAGGCUUUGACGGGUAGCCGGCCUGAGAGGGUGACCGGCCACAUUGGGACUGAGAUACGGCCCAGACUCCUACGGGAGGCAGCAGUGGGGAAUAUUGCACAAUGGGCGGAAGCCUGAUGCAGCAACGCCGCGUGCGGGAUGACGGCCUUCGGGUUGUAAACCGCUUUCGCCUGUGACGAAGCGUGAGUGACGGUAAUGGGUAAAGAAGCACCGGCUAACUACGUGCCAGCAGCCGCGGUGAUACGUAGGGUGCGAGCGUUGUCCGGAUUUAUUGGGCGUAAAGGGCUCGUAGGUGGUUGAUCGCGUCGGAAGUGUAAUCUUGGGGCUUAACCCUGGGCGUGCUUUCGAUACGGGUUGACUUGAGGAAGGUAGGGGAGAAUGGAAUUCCUGGUGGAGCGGUGGAAUGCGCAGAUAUCAGGAGGAACACCAGUGGCGAAGGCGGUCCUCUGGGCCUUUCCUGACGCUGAGGAGCGAAAGCGUGGGGAGCGAACAGGCUUAGAUACCCUGGUAGUCCACGCUGUAAACGGUGGGUACUAGGUGUGGGGUCCAUUCCACGGGUUCCGUGCCGUAGCUAACGCUUUAAGUACCCCGCCUGGGGAGUACGGCCGCAAGGCUAAAACUCAAAGGAAUUGACGGGGCCCCGCACAAGCGGCGGAGCAUGCGGAUUAAUUCGAUGCAACGCGUAGAACCUUACCUGGGUUUGACAUGGAUCGGGAGUGCUCAGAGAUGGGUGUGCCUCUUUUGGGGUCGGUUCACAGGUGGUGCAUGCCUGUCGUCAGCUCGUGUCGUGAGAUGUUGGGUUAAGUCCCGCAACGAGCGCAACCCUUGUUCACUGUUGCCAGCACGUUAUGGUGGGGACUCAGUGGAGACCGCCGGGGUCAACUCGGAGGAAGGUGGGGAUGACGUCAAGUCCUCAUGCCCCUUAUGUCCAGGGCUUCACGCAUGCUACAAUGGCUGGUACAGAGAGUGGCGAGCCUGUGAGGGUGAGCGAAUCUCGGAAAGCCGGUUUCAGUUCGGAUUGGGGUCUGCAACUCGACCUCAUGAAGUCGGAGUCGCUAGUAAUCGCAGAUCAGCAACGCUGCGGUGAAUACGUUCCCGGG
Molecule: ribosomal RNA, 1343 nt
Filed under: uncultured bacterium
Lineage: Bacteria
Description: 16S ribosomal RNA
Rfam family: Bacterial small subunit ribosomal RNA
Source: RNAcentral